GAACCGAGAACUUGGGAGGAAAAAAAAAAGAGGGGUGGGGGGAGAAAGAGGAGGAGAAACUGGAUCCCUUCCCCAGCCCCCCACCCAGUGCUGCGGGGAAGGAGACUUUAUCACCUAAUCUGGUGCGUCCAUUGAGAGAGCCAUCUGCAAGCAGCAGCAGCUAAGAGCAGCACUUGAUCUACUUCUGAAUCUUGCCACUCACUCCAGGUCCUGCAGUGCAUGGCAGAUCAGUUACCUAAAGAGCAGCAAAGCUCGUCUGGGUGAUGUUACUGCACAGCAAAAGCUGCACCGCAGUUAUGGAUAAGUAAAUGAAAGGAGACACCCUACCUCAGCUAUUUAGUAAUUUGGGGGCGGGGGUAUUUCAAGAUAAAGUAACUAAAAAAAAUGAAAUAGAGAAAAGUCUUCAGCAAAGUGAGGAGUGCUGACCAAGGCAUCCACACCGCAGGAAAAGAGGGGAAAAGAAACCUUUGGAAGGAAAAGUCAGAGCAGAGAGGUUAAACCGCUUUGAGAAAGGAUCUCCGGACUUGUCUACGGGAGGGAUCUUUGCACAAUGAUAUAGCCAUGACAUCAGUGUAUCUGCUGCAGAGCCCCUACUUCGGAUCAACUCAUUAUCCUGAAUAAACGAUGUGUCAUUCCCAUUAUUUAUGUUUCACUGCAGCCAAAGUAUCUGGACCUCGUUUUGCCAGAUGGCUUGCUAGCUGUAUAUGGAGGCUGUGACCUGCCAAGGGAAAAUUUCUCAGCAUUUUCUCCAAAUGAUGAUGCCUGAAAGAAGACAGCGUUCCAACACUGGGCCAGUUUGCUGAUUUAAUACUGCUAUGAAAGAAGAGAACAACCUACUGAAUAACUAACAUCACAUCCAAGCGUUUUCUAGAGAAGUCACCAAUGGCACAUGAAUAGUCACACUGACUUCAGUGGAAUUACUCAUAUUUAAAGUUAGGCACAAACUGCAGAAUCGGACCCAAAGAUUACUGAACUCGAUGGCAAUCUUUCCACUGACUUCCGUGAGCUUUGGAUCAGGCCCUGUGUGCUUUGAUGAAUAGAGAUGGACUUAACCACAUAUUUAAAAUGUGUGUUGCUGAACUGGGAUCUAACUACAGACCAUGACUGAGACCGUUAACAUUUGAAUUUAACCAGAUUAUAACCCGGUUUAAUAUUGCUGUGUGUAAAGUAUGAAAGCUUACAGGUAAACAAAGUGUAAAAUAUAAAUUGAACUAGAACUGUAAGAACUAGGCACAAAUACAAUCACUGUCAAGCAACCUCGCUUACUGAUUUUUUUAAAAAGGUUGAAAGUCGAGAGAGAGCCUUGUUAGAAAGCCCUUGAAGAAAAUUCUUUGAAAAUGAAAAACAACUUUUUAAAUGGCUAUUUUUGAGGGAGGGGGUCAUUACUGUUUCCUCCUUGUCUUUUUUAUGCUAAAUUCUCAACUGGCAGGCAAACAUACGUCCCCAACUCCAAUGUUUCCAAAUUCACAAAACUGGAUAUAGCUCUUUAUAUUACUUUAGGGUUUCAGCAGAUACUGUAUUCAGAAUACUUUGAAAACUGCCUAGUGUCUUAGAGACAUGAUUUGUCUUCAUUGUGACUCCAGUAGGCAGAUAGCAGUGAGCUCACAUUCUUAGAGGACUUAGUUUGUGCAGGCACGUAACUUAAAUACUUGCUGGGCACUGUUCUCCAGCAGCUGUACAUUCUCGAUGAUGCUUCCUUUUCAUCCUUCUGUUCUGUAUUCCUUAGCAGGAGACUCAACAGCUGUAACAACACCUGGAGGAUACUUGGCAGCUGCAAGUCACAGAUGCUGAGCUCAGUAAUGUACUUUCCCUGUACAAGCAUCUGAGUGUUUUGCUGGCUGCUUGAAAGUUUUCACUGGUGUCUGAAUGGCUUGCUCCACAACUAGCUACAAUAUGCUGAUGGUUGUGUCGAAUCACCCCUGGAGUAUAGGGAUCAAUCUGUCUGAUGAGCAAGAUGACUUACCUCCUCCAAGAUGCUGCUAUCAUUUACCCCUAUUUAUUGGUAAGAGAUUUGCAUGCUUUAGCAGUGUACAGGGCCAAUCAGAGGGGGGACCAGGAGGGCCAUUUGGCCUGGGUCUCAAGCUCAAAGGGGGCCUCAAAUUUAGACACUUGUUAAUUUUUGGCAUUUGAUAAGUUUCACAACUUGUUUUUAUGCACAUGAAAACUAGAUUUUUCC
Molecule: long non-coding RNA, 2176 nt
Organism: Mauremys reevesii (Reeves's turtle)
Lineage: Eukaryota; Metazoa; Chordata; Testudines; Geoemydidae
Exons: 6
Source: RefSeq, a predicted model, not a curated record